UAGGGAAUCUUCCGCAAUGGACGCAAGUCUGACGGAGCAACGCCGCGUGAGUGAAGAAGGAUUUCGGUUCGUAAAACUCUGUUGUUAGAGAAGAACAGCGCAUAGAGUAACUGUUAUGCGAGUGACGGUAUCUAACCAGAAAGCCACGGCUAACUACGUGCCAGCAGCCGCGGUAAUACGUAGGUGGCAAGCGUUGUCCGGAUUUAUUGGGCGUAAAGCGAGCGCAGGCGGUCAAUUAAGUCUGAUGUGAAAGCCCCCGGCUCAACCGGGGAGGGUCAUUGGAAACUGGUUGACUUGAGUGCAGAAGAGGAGAGUGGAAUUCCAUGUGUAGCGGUGAAAUGCGUAGAUAUAUGGAGGAACACCAGUGGCGAAGGCGACUCUCUGGUCUGUAACUGACGCUGAGGCUCGAAAGCGUGGGUAGCAAACAGG
This 429-nucleotide ribosomal RNA is filed under the name Bacteroidota bacterium. RNAcentral describes it as "Bacteroidetes bacterium partial 16S ribosomal RNA". It matches the Rfam family "Bacterial small subunit ribosomal RNA", at positions 355 to 776 of the family's 1533-position model. The record is from RNAcentral. Lineage: Bacteria; Pseudomonadati; Bacteroidota.